GGGGGUGUAGCUCAGCUGGGAGAGCACCUGCCUUGCAAGCAGGGGGUCAGCGGUUCGAGCCCGCUCAUCUCCACCA
RNAcentral lists this transfer RNA (76 nucleotides) under Pelotomaculum sp. FP. RNAcentral's name for it is "tRNA-Ala". It matches the Rfam family "tRNA". From Rfam's summary of the family: Transfer RNA (tRNA) molecules are approximately 80 nucleotides in length. Lineage: Bacteria; Bacillati; Bacillota; Clostridia; Eubacteriales; Desulfotomaculaceae. The record is from RNAcentral.